UUUACUUCAUUGGGUAGGGGAGCGUUCUGUAAGCCGUUGAAGGUGAAUCGUAAGGUUUGCUGGAGGUAUCAGAAGUGCGAAUGCUGACAUGAGUAACGAUAAAGGGAGUGAAAAACUCCCUCGCCGGAAGAUCAAGGGUUCCUGUCCAACGUUAAUCGGGGCAGGGUAAGUCGACCCCUAAGGCGAGGCCGAAAGGCGUAGUCGAUGGGAAACGGGUUAAUAUUCCCGUACUUCUUAUAAUUGCGAUGGAGGGACGGAGAAGGCUAGGUGAGCCUGGCGACGGUUGUCCAGGUCCAAGUAUGUAGGCUGAUGGUUUAGGCAAAUCCGGACCAUCUUAAGGCUGAGAUACGAUGUCGAGUCACUACGGUGACGAAGUCAUUGAUGCCAUGCUUCCGGGAAAAGCUUCUAAGCUUCAGAUUAUAAGAAAUCGUACCCCAAACCGACACAGGUGAUCAGGUAGAGAAUACCAAGGCGCUUGAGAGAACUCGGGUGAAGGAACUAGGCAAAAUGGUACCGUAACUUCGGGAGAAGGUACGCUCCUAGCGGUGAUGAGACUUGCUCUCUAAGCUGCCGGGAGUCGCAGAUACCAGGUGGCUGCAACUGUUUAUUAAAAACACAGCACUGUGCAAAAUCGAAAGAUGACGUAUACGGUGUGACGCCUGCCCGGUGCCGGAAGGUUAAUUGAUGGGGUUAGACUUCGGUCGAAGCUCUUGAUCGAAGCCCCGGUAAACGGCGGCCGUAACUAUAACGGUCCUAAGGUAGCGAAAUUCCUUGUCGGGUAAGUUCCGACCUGCACGAAUGGCGUAAUGAUGGCCACGCUGUCUCCACCCGAGACUCAGUGAAAUUGAAAUCGCAGUGAAGAUGCUGCGUCCCCGCGGCUAGACGGAAAGACCCCGUGAACCUUUACUAUAGCUUGGCACUGAACAUUGACCCUACAUGUGUAGGAUAGGUGGGAGACGUUGAAGCAACCGCGCCAGUGGUUGUGGAGUCAAUCUUGAAAUACCACCCUUGUAUGCUUGAUGUUCUAACGUUGG
This 1034-nucleotide ribosomal RNA is filed under the name Photobacterium sp. GB-36. Its description in RNAcentral is "bacterial LSU rRNA". It matches the Rfam family "Bacterial large subunit ribosomal RNA", at positions 1215 to 2231 of the family's 2925-position model. The record is from RNAcentral. Lineage: Bacteria; Pseudomonadati; Pseudomonadota; Gammaproteobacteria; Vibrionales; Vibrionaceae.